CAAAUGAUAACAAAAGUGCUUCGGCUUCAGGUUAUAUUCAUUUAUACAAAGGUCACUUUCAGCUUGGCUUGUUUGAAACAUGGAUUAUUGUAAUUAAUGACUUUUAGUAACAGAUAUCAAAGAAAAAACAUCAUAAAUAUAACAUCCCCAGGCAUGAAAGAAUCCAAUAGGUGCCACCCUACCUUUGCCAAUGAAUUGCUGCAUCCAUAAUGAACCAUAGCCAAUGCUCACAUACGACAUCAUUUGAAGUUCCCAGUCUAAAAAUAGUAAUCUUAAAUAUGCACUUCUAAAUAUCCACUAAGGCUGCGGGCGUGUCUGGACUAUGUAGAUAUCUUUUCCAAUCACACAGCCCUCCACAUCUUGUGGACACCCAAAUUUCCUCUCCAAGAAAAACCCAACAGCACAGAGACGCUGACCAAGAUGACGACGGAAUAUUGGAUCAACUGUUAAUGGUUUCUUGCUGUAAUCAACAACCAAACGGAUGAUUUCCCCAUCAGCCGGACCUGCACCAGAUACUAGCAUUUCCUCACUGAAAUUCGCAAAUGCCAGUGUUCGUACAUGUCCAUCAAACUUCCCAGAUGAAAGACGCCAGGGAGUGCCCCGAGUGCCUGAAGCUAGGGUUUCACCAAGCCCAGGGGCAAUCUCGGCCUCAACCAAAUUGUGUUCUUGGUCAGUAGGGCUGAGAGUGUGAAGCACAAAUGAGAGAUCCGGUGAAAGCAUUUCUUGCACCAGAACUGCCAUUGCAGCAUCCUUCUGAGACACACCAGCAGCUUGACGACUUAAAACAGCUCUGCGAGUGUACAGUGAAGCCCAUACUUGGCUUACAGCAUUUGCAAAUACAAUUGGAUUUGAUGGGCUAACAUUAGGAAUAGACUCAUAAAGUCCAGCAGCUGACAGUCCUGCUAGGUCCUCAACAUUGGCACUUGAACGUACAAUUAAACGUGCAUUACCUGGAAAUAUUCGGCCUAUUCCAUCAAUUAUAUCUUUUGGGGGCUGCAAAGAAGAGAUCAGCUCCUGGAGUUGAGAGCACAGUUUGUCAAGUUCACCACCUUCCAAUCUAGCUGUUUCUGUCUGUUCUAGAAGUGACAUGAAUGUUUCCAUGGUUUUACUCUGCUUUAGUGCCAAUUCCAUAGAACCAAAUGGUAUAACUGCCCCCUUGGGCACAUGAAAUGAAGCUGGGACCCCUUGGUCACUAUAAACUUUAUGUGAAACAGCUGCCAAAGAGGCU
This 1228-nucleotide unclassified non-coding RNA is filed under the name Hevea brasiliensis (rubber tree). The record is from RNAcentral. Lineage: Eukaryota; Viridiplantae; Streptophyta; Magnoliopsida; Malpighiales; Euphorbiaceae.